AAUAAAUGUCGGGAGGUAGGGCCUGCAGUGCGUGUAAUCCAUGUGCUGCAGCCUGCCUCUGUCUAGAUAUUCUACCCAUGUCUUUUGCGUACUAUUCGUUUCCUCGGCGGGCUUGCCUGCCGCAAGGACACUAUAAAACCUUUUGUAAUUGCAAUCAGCGUCAGUAAAAAAACUUUAAUAGUAA
This 184-nucleotide unclassified non-coding RNA is filed under the name uncultured Pleosporales. Its description in RNAcentral is "sequence contains ITS1". Lineage: Eukaryota; Fungi; Ascomycota; Dothideomycetes; Pleosporales. The record is from RNAcentral.